RNA transcript from Episyrphus balteatus (marmalade hoverfly), 929 nucleotides. It is a transcript of the gene named serine/arginine-rich splicing factor 2, with no coding region annotated. NCBI's taxonomy places the organism in Eukaryota, Metazoa, Arthropoda, Insecta, Diptera, Syrphidae. The transcript has 5 exons. The record is from RefSeq and is a predicted model, not a curated record.
GAAGUUACUUGUGUCGCUUUCGCCUACCCUAGAGAGUGGUGUGGCAAUUUUUUCUUUCUGCAAGUGAAAAUUUUUAUAAAUUCACUUGAUUUAAAUUUGAUAAAAAAAAAUUAAAAAAUCAAGGAUCAGUGAAAUUAAAGCAUUUUUCAUUAUAGAUUCAUAAUGAGUCACAGUAAUAGUAAUAAUAACAGCAACCGGCCACCUCCCCGCAUUGACGGGAUGGUGUCCCUUAAAGUUGAUAAUUUAACUUAUCGCACCACUCCGGAAGAUUUGAGACGAGUUUUCGAAAGGUGCGGUGAAGUUGGAGAUAUUUACAUACCACGCGAUCGCUAUACCCGCGAAAGCCGGGGCUUCGCUUUCGUUAGAUUUUAUGACAAGAGGGAUGCCGAAGACGCACUUGAAGCUAUGGAUGGCCGCAUGUUAGACGGCAGGGAGUUGCGUGUCCAAAUGGCUCGCUACGGGCGACCAACAUCGCCAACCAGACGCAAUGGACGCGGUGGUGGCGGCGGUGGUGGAGGCGGUAGACGCCGUGGAGGACGUUCUCGUUCACCGCGACGUCGAUCGCGCAGUCCAAGGCGCAAGCCUUCAUACUCGCCGAGAUCCAGAUCUCGCUCGGUGGGUAGCCGCUCGCCGGUGCGUCGGAAUAAGUUUUCACGCAGCCCCGUCCGCAAAUCUCUGAGCCGCAGCAACAGCCAUAAUGGCGGGCGCAGUGUUUCACGUAGUCGCAGUCGUAGUAGGACUUAAGCAUUUUUGCAAGAGACUACUGAAAACAUGGCAGGUGCUGCUGCAUCAGGACCUCGAGUAUUCAACAUACACAGGGCGUUCCUGUCUGUAAAUGUAACGUGUGAUGCUGCUGCUGCUGCCACUACUGCUGAUUUAAAUCUUUUCUGUUAACGUGCCUUCAGCAAGUAACAAAAAAAAAAAAACAA